Molecule: ribosomal RNA, 253 nt
Filed under: uncultured bacterium
Lineage: Bacteria
Description: partial 16S ribosomal RNA
Rfam family: Bacterial small subunit ribosomal RNA
Source: RNAcentral
UACGUAGGUGGCGAGCGUUGUCCGGAUUUACUGGGCGUAAAGGGAGCGUAGGCGGACUUUUAAGUGAGAUGUGAAAUACUCGGGCUCAACUUGAGUGCUGCAUUUCAAACUGGAAGUCUAGAGUGCAGGAGAGGAGGAUGGAAUUCCUAGUGUAGCGGUGAAAUGCGUAGAGAUUAGGAAGAACACCAGUGGCGAAGGCGAUUCUCUGGACUGUGACUGACGCUGAGGCUCGAAAGCGUGGGGAGCAAACAGG